Molecule: long non-coding RNA, 924 nt
Organism: Oryzias melastigma (Indian medaka)
Lineage: Eukaryota; Metazoa; Chordata; Actinopteri; Beloniformes; Adrianichthyidae
Exons: 2
Source: RefSeq, a predicted model, not a curated record
AGAUGAAAAGGUGGAAGGAGUUGAUCUGAUAUAAUGGGCUGGUCUGGGUUACAGUAAGAAUCAACAAUUUGCAUUGAAAUAAUGGGGGUGAACUGACCUGGUUCUAGUCACUUUUGUUCUUUAACCAUCCUAAAAAACAGGAAAGGAAAGCGUCCUUUUCCCCUCUGAUGUGAAGGUUUUGCUGGCCUACUGUAAAGCCCGGGGGACCGAACAGCCUCCUUUUGAUGCUCGGCGUGUUCGUCGGAGCGCUUCUCCUGAAAACCCGGUUUGUUUCCAUCAAUCGAAUGUUUCAGUUUGCAGCAAGUACGUUUUAAAAAACCACUCCAGCUUCCGGCUGACGUCUAACAGUCGGAUCAAAGUCCUUAGAGGGGGCAGAGUGGUGCUGCCGCUGCACAUCUCUUGAGUUCAGUUUCACUUUGGUAAAGGUCAGGGGGGUUCAGGUGUCCUGUCUCCUUGCUUUUCCUGCUGUCAGAAACUAAGCGUACGGGCAGGCAGCUUGUCACACGGAAAGCCAGCUCCCAUGAUGCCCUUGUGCUUAUUUUUCACUCCUUUGCCCUCCUCAAUCACAGCCCCCCCACCACCCCAUCACGGAGUGCUACUUGAGUCUCGACUACACCUGGGACCCUCUCUCGCCUUGCAGCCAUUGGAUCAGCUGCUGACUAUAACGCCACAUCUUUUUUUUCUUUUGUUCUCUGCCCACAUAUUAACUAGGAGAUGCCCGCAAAAAAAAAAAAAAAAAAAGAACAGAUCAAGGUCCUGGAAAGCCGAUGCAACAAUUAUGCAACCAUCUUUAUCCAUCUCACGAAUUCCCCUUGCAGGCUUUGGCUCAUCAGUUUUAAACGGCAUGAGGCAGUCUGGCAUUGUUCUUUCGAUUCAAGUGGACAAAAGUGUCUCCAGUGAAGUCCCAUCCAUCAAUACUUUGGG